UACGAAGGUGGCAAGCGUUGUUCGGAUUUACUGGGCGUAAAGGGAGCGUAGGUGGUUAGGUAAGCCCUCCGGGAAAUCUUCAGGCUUAACCUGAAAAGGUCGGGGGGGACUGCCUAGCUAGAGGGCGGGAGAGGAGCGCGGAAUUCCCGGUGUAGCGGUGAAAUGCGUAGAGAUCGGGAGGAAGGCCGGUGGCGAAGGCGGCGCUCUGGAACGUUUCUGACACUGAGGCUCGAAAGCGUGGGGAGCAAACAG
Molecule: ribosomal RNA, 252 nt
Filed under: uncultured bacterium
Lineage: Bacteria
Description: partial 16S ribosomal RNA
Rfam family: Bacterial small subunit ribosomal RNA
Source: RNAcentral